GUAAGCUACUAAGAGCGAAUGGUGGAUGCCUUGACUGGUAAAGGCGAUGAAGGACGUACUAGACUGCGAUAAGCUACGGGGAGCUGUCAAGAAGCUUUGAUCCGUAGAUUUCCGAAUGGGGCAACCCAAUGUAUAGAGAUAUACAUUACCUAUAUAGGAGCGAACGAGGGGAAUUGAAACAUCUUAGUACCCUCAGGAAAAGAAAUCAAUAGAGAUUGCGUCAGUAGCGGCGAGCGAAAGCGCAAGAGGGCAAACCCAGUGCUUGCACUGGGGGUUGUAGGACUGCAAUGUGCAAGAGGUGAGUUUAGCAGAACAUUCUGGAAAGUAUAGCCAUAGAGGGUGAUAGUCCCGUAUGCGAAAAACAAACCUUAGCUAGCAGUAUCCUGAGUAGGGCGGGACACGAGAAAUCCUGUCUGAAGCUGGGUCGACCACGAUCCAACCCUAAAUACUAAUACCAGAUCGAUAGUGCACAAGUACCGUGAGGGAAAGGUGAAAAGAACUGAGGUGAUCAGAGUGAAAUAGAACCUGAAACCAUUUGCUUACAAUCAUUCAGAGCACUAUGUAGCAAUACAGUGUGAUGGACUGCCUUUUGCAUAAUGAGCCUGCGAGUUGUGGUGUCUGGCAAGGUUAAGCAAACGCGAAGCCGUAGCGAAAGCGAGUCUGAAUAGGGCGCUUAGUCAGAUGCUGCAGACCCGAAACGAAGUGAUCUAUCCAUGAGCAAGUUGAAGCUAGUGUAAGAACUAGUGGAGGACUGAACCCAUAGGCGUUGAAAAGCCCCGGGAUGACUUGUGGAUAGGGGUGAAAGGCCAAUCAAACUUCGUGAUAGCUGGUUCUCUCCGAAAUAUAUUUAGGUAUAGCGUUGUGUCGUAAUAUAAGGGGGUAGAGCACUGAAUGGGCUAGGGCAUACACCAAUGUACCAAACCCUAUCAAACUCCGAAUACCUUAUAUGUAAUCACAGCAGUCAGGCGGCGAGUGAUAAAAUCCGUCGUCAAGAGGGAAACAACCCAGACUACCAGCUAAGGUCCCUAAAUCUUACUUAAGUGGAAAACGAUGUGAAGUUACUUAAACAACCAGGAGGUUGGCUUAGAAGCAGCCAUCCUUUAAAGAAAGCGUAAUAGCUCACUGGUCUAGUGAUUUUGCGCGGAAAAUAUAACGGGGCUAAAGUAAGUACCGAAGCUGUAGACUUGACUUUGUCAAGUGGUAGGAGAGCGUUCUAUUUGCGUCGAAGGUAUACCGGUAAGGAGUGCUGGAGCGAAUAGAAGUGAGCAUGCAGGCAUGAGUAGCGAUAAUUAAUGUGAGAAUCAUUAACGCCGUAAACCCAAGGUUUCCUACGCGAUGCUCGUCAUCGUAGGGUUAGUCGGGUCCUAAGUCGAGUCCGAAAGGGGUAGACGAUGGCAAAUUGGUUAAUAUUCCAAUACCAACAUUAGUGUGCGAUGGAAGGACGCUUAGGGCUAAGGGGGCUAGCGGAUGGAAGUGCUAGUCUAAGGUCGUAGGUGCUUAUACAGGCAAAUCCGUAUAAGAAUACACCGAGAACUGAAAGGCUUUUUGAAGUCUUCGGAUGGAUAGAAGAACCCCUGAUGCCGUCGAGCCAAGAAAAGUUUCUAAGUUUAGCUAAUGUUGCCCGUACCGUAAACCGACACAGGUGGGUGGGAUGAGUAUUCUAAGGCGCGUGGAAGAACUCUCUUUAAGGAACUCUGCAAAAUAGCACCGUAUCUUCGGUAUAAGGUGUGGUUCGCUUCGUAUUAGGAUUUACUCCGAAAGCGAAGAAACUUACAACAAAGAGUCCCUCCCGACUGUUUACCAAAAACACAGCACUCUGCUAACUCGUAAGAGGAUGUAUAGGGUGUGACGCCUGCCCGGUGCUCGAAGGUUAAUUGAUGGGGUUAGCAUUAGCGAAGCUCUUGAUCGAAGCCCGAGUAAACGGCGGCCGUAACUAUAACGGUCCUAAGGUAGCGAAAUUCCUUGUCGGUUAAAUACCGACCUGCAUGAAUGGCGUAACGAGAUGGGAGCUGUCUCAAAGAGGGAUCCAGUGAAAUUGUAGUGGAGGUGAAAAUUCCUCCUACCCGCGGCAAGACGGAAAGACCCCGUGGACCUUUACUACAGCUUGACACUGCUACUUGGAUAAGAAUGUGCAGGAUAGGUGGGAGGCUUUGAGUAUAUGACGCCAGUUGUAUAUGAGCCAUUGUUGAGAUACCACUCUUUCUUAUUUGGGUAGCUAACCAGCUUGAGUUAUCCUCAAGUGGGACAAUGUCUGGUGGGUAGUUUGACUGGGGCGGUCGCCUCCCAAAUAAUAACGGAGGCUUACAAAGGUUGGCUCAGAACGGUUGGAAAUCGUUCGUAGAGUAUAAAGGUAUAAGCCAGCUUAACUGCAAGACAUACAAGUCAAGCAGAGACGAAAGUCGGUCUUAGUGAUCCGGUGGUUCUGUGUGGAAGGGCCAUCGCUCAAAGGAUAAAAGGUACCCCGGGGAUAACAGGCUGAUCUCCCCCAAGAGCUCACAUCGACGGGGAGGUUUGGCACCUCGAUGUCGGCUCAUCGCAUCCUGGGGCUGGAGCAGGUCCCAAGGGUAUGGCUGUUCGCCAUUUAAAGCGGUACGCGAGCUGGGUUCAGAACGUCGUGAGACAGUUCGGUCCCUAUCUGCCGUGGGCGUAAGAAGAUUGAAGAGAUUUGACCCUAGUACGAGAGGACCGGGUUGAACAAACCACUGGUGUAGCUGUUGUUCUGCCAAGAGCAUCGCAGCGUAGCUAAGUUUGGAAAGGAUAAACGCUGAAAGCAUCUAAGCGUGAAGCCAACUCUAAGAUGAAUCUUCUCUAAGCUCUCUAGAAGACUACUAGUUUGAUAGGCUGGGUGUGUAAUGGAUGAAAGUCCUUUAGCUGACCAGUACUAAUAGAGCGUUUGGCUUAUCUUU
Molecule: ribosomal RNA, 2906 nt
Filed under: Campylobacter coli
Lineage: Bacteria; Pseudomonadati; Campylobacterota; Epsilonproteobacteria; Campylobacterales; Campylobacteraceae
Description: bacterial LSU rRNA
Rfam family: Bacterial large subunit ribosomal RNA
Source: RNAcentral